RNAcentral lists this ribosomal RNA (468 nucleotides) under uncultured bacterium. Its description in RNAcentral is "partial 16S ribosomal RNA". It matches the Rfam family "Bacterial small subunit ribosomal RNA", at positions 28 to 507 of the family's 1533-position model. The record is from RNAcentral.
GACGAACGCUGGCGGCGUGCUUAACACAUGCAAGUCGAACGGAAAGGCCCUGCUUUUGUGGGGUGCUCGAGUGGCGAACGGGUGAGUAACACGUGAGUAACCUGCCCUUGACUUUGGGAUAACUUCAGGAAACUGGGGCUAAUACCGGAUAGGAGCUCCUGCUGCAUGGUGGGGGUUGGAAAGUUUCGGCGGUUGGGGAUGGACUCGCGGUUUAUCAGCUUGUUGGUGGGGUAGUGGCUUACCAAGGCUUUGACGGGUAGCCGGCCUGAGAGGGUGACCGGCCACAUUGGGACUGAGAUACGGCCCAGAAUCCAACGGGAGGCAGCAGUGGGGAAUAUUGCACAAUGGGCGGAAGCCUGAUGCAGCAACGCCGCGUGCGGGAUGACGGCCUUCGGGUUGUAAACCGCUUGCGCCUGUGACGAAGCGUGAGUGACGGUAAUGGGUAAAGAAGCACCGGCUAACUACGUG